Molecule: ribosomal RNA, 690 nt
Filed under: uncultured Pseudomonadota bacterium
Lineage: Bacteria; Pseudomonadati; Pseudomonadota
Description: bacterial SSU rRNA
Rfam family: Bacterial small subunit ribosomal RNA
Source: RNAcentral
AUUGAACGCUGGCGGCAGGCCUAACACAUGCAAGUCGAACGGUAACAGGAAGCAGCUUGCUGCUUCGCUGACGAGUGGCGGACGGGUGAGUAAUGUCUGGGAAGCUGCCUGAUGGAGGGGGAUAACUACUGGAAACGGUAGCUAAUACCGCAUAAUGUCGCAAGACCAAAGAGGGGGACCUUCGGGCCUCUUGCCAUCGGAUGUGCCCAGAUGGGAUUAGCUUGUUGGUGGGGUAACGGCUCACCAAGGCGACGAUCCCUAGCUGGUCUGAGAGGAUGACCAGCCACACUGGAACUGAGACACGGUCCAGACUCCUACGGGAGGCAGCAGUGGGGAAUAUUGCACAAUGGGCGCAAGCCUGAUGCAGCCAUGCCGCGUGUAUGAAGAAGGCCUUCGGGUUGUAAAGUACUUUCAGCGGGGAGGAAGGGAGUAAAGUUAAUACCUUUGCUCAUUGACGUUACCCGCAGAAGAAGCACCGGCUAACUCCGUGCCAGCAGCCGCGGUAAUACGGAGGGUGCAAGCGUUAAUCGGAAUUACUGGGCGUAAAGCGCACGCAGGCGGUUUGUUAAGUCAGAUGUGAAAUCCCCGGGCUCAACCUGGGAACUGCAUCUGAUACUGGCAAGCUUGAGUCUCGUAGAGGGGGGUAGAAUUCCAGGUGUAGCGGUGAAAUGCGUAGAGAUCUGGAGGAAU